This 3027-nucleotide ribosomal RNA is filed under the name Salmonella enterica. RNAcentral's name for it is "bacterial LSU rRNA". It matches the Rfam family "Bacterial large subunit ribosomal RNA". Lineage: Bacteria; Pseudomonadati; Pseudomonadota; Gammaproteobacteria; Enterobacterales; Enterobacteriaceae. The record is from RNAcentral. RNAcentral also lists the same sequence under 2 other names.
GGGUUGUGAGGUUAAGCGACUAAGCGUACACGGUGGAUGCCCUGGCAGUCAGAGGCGAUGAAGGACGUGCUAAUCUGCGAUAAGCGCCGGUAAGGUGAUAUGAACCGUUAUAACCGGCGAUUUCCGAAUGGGGAAACCCAGUGUGAUUCGUCACACUAUCAUUAACUGAAUCCAUAGGUUAAUGAGGCGAACCGGGGGAACUGAAACAUCUAAGUACCCCGAGGAAAAGAAAUCAACCGAGAUUCCCCCAGUAGCGGCGAGCGAACGGGGAGGAGCCCAGAGCCUGAAUCAGCAUGUGUGUUAGUGGAAGCGUCUGGAAAGGCGCGCGAUACAGGGUGACAGCCCCGUACACAAAAGCGCAUGUGCUGUGAGCUCGAUGAGUAGGGCGGGACACGUGGUAUCCUGUCUGAAUAUGGGGGGACCAUCCUCCAAGGCUAAAUACUCCUGACUGACCGAUAGUGAACCAGUACCGUGAGGGAAAGGCGAAAAGAACCCCGGCGAGGGGAGUGAAAAAGAACCUGAAACCGUGUACGUACAAGCAGUGGGAGCCCCACCACUAAGCCAGUGGUGAACUCCACAUACGCAUCCUUUGCUGAGGAUACGGUUAACGGAGCGAAAGCGACGUUCAACCGCAAAAGAAGCAGAGGGGGCUUAGUGGUGGGGUGACUGCGUACCUUUUGUAUAAUGGGUCAGCGACUUAUAUUCUGUAGCAAGGUUAACCGAAUAGGGGAGCCGGAGGGAAACCGAGUCUUAAUUGGGCGUUAAGUUGCAGGGUAUAGACCCGAAACCCGGUGAUCUAGCCAUGGGCAGGUUGAAGGUUGGGUAACACUAACUGGAGGACCGAACCGACUAAUGUUGAAAAAUUAGCGGAUGACCUGUGGCUGGGGGUGAAAGGCCAAUCAAACCGGGAGAUAGCUGGUUCUCCCCGAAAGCUAUUUAGGUAGCGCCUCGUGAAUUCAUCUCCGGGGGUAGAGCACUGUUUCGGCUAGGGGGCCAUCCCGGCUUACCAACCCGAUGCAAACUGCGAAUACCGGAGAAUGUUAUCACGGGAGACACACGGCGGGUGCUAACGUCCGUCGUGAAGAGGGAAACAACCCAGACCGCCAGCUAAGGUCCCAAAGUCAUGGUUAAGUGGGAAACGAUGUGGGAAGGCCCAGACAGCCAGGAUGUUGGCUUAGAAGCAGCCAUCAUUUAAAGAAAGCGUAAUAGCUCACUGGUCGAGUCGGCCUGCGCGGAAGAUGUAACGGGGCUAAACCAUGCACCGAAGCUGCGGCAGCGACACUGUGUGUUGUUGGGUAGGGGAGCGUUCUGUAAGCCUGUGAAGGUGUGUCGUGAGGCAUGCUGGAGGUAUCAGAAGUGCGAAUGCUGACAUAAGUAACGAUAAAGCGGGUGAAAAGCCCGCUCGCCGGAAGACCAAGGGUUCCUGUCCAACGUUAAUCGGGGCAGGGUGAGUCGACCCCUAAGGCGAGGCCGAAAGGCGUAGUCGAUGGGAAACGGGUUAAUAUUCCCGUACUUGGUGUUACUGCGAAGGGGGGACGGAGAAGGCUAUGUUGGCCGGGCGACGGUUGUCCCGGUUUAAGCGUGUAGGUGUGUGUUCCAGGUAAAUCCGGUUCACUUUAACACUGAGGCGUGACGACGAGGCACUACGGUGCUGAAGCAACAAAUGCCCUGCUUCCAGGAAAAGCCUCUAAGCAUCAGGUAACAUCAAAUCGUACCCCAAACCGACACAGGUGGUCAGGUAGAGAAUACCAAGGCGCUUGAGAGAACUCGGGUGAAGGAACUAGGCAAAAUGGUGCCGUAACUUCGGGAGAAGGCACGCUGACAUGUAGGUGAAGUGAUUUACUCAUGGAGCUGAAGUCAGUCGAAGAUACCAGCUGGCUGCAACUGUUUAUUAAAAACACAGCACUGUGCAAACACGAAAGUGGACGUAUACGGUGUGACGCCUGCCCGGUGCCGGAAGGUUAAUUGAUGGGGUCAGCGCAAGCGAAGCUCCUGAUCGAAGCCCCGGUAAACGGCGGCCGUAACUAUAACGGUCCUAAGGUAGCGAAAUUCCUUGUCGGGUAAGUUCCGACCUGCACGAAUGGCGUAAUGAUGGCCAGGCUGUCUCCACCCGAGACUCAGUGAAAUUGAACUCGCUGUGAAGAUGCAGUGUACCCGCGGCAAGACGGAAAGACCCCGUGAACCUUUACUAUAGCUUGACACUGAACAUUGAGCCUUGAUGUGUAGGAUAGGUGGGAGGCUUUGAAGUGUGGACGCCAGUCUGCAUGGAGCCGACCUUGAAAUACCACCCUUUAAUGUUUGAUGUUCUAACGUGGACCCGUUACCCGGGUUGCGGACAGUGUCUGGUGGGUAGUUUGACUGGGGCGGUCUCCUCCUAAAGAGUAACGGAGGAGCACGAAGGUUGGCUAAUCCUGGUCGGACAUCAGGAGGUUAGUGCAAUGGCAUAAGCCAGCUUGACUGCGAGCGUGACGGCGCGAGCAGGUGCGAAAGCAGGUCAUAGUGAUCCGGUGGUUCUGAAUGGAAGGGCCAUCGCUCAACGGAUAAAAGGUACUCCGGGGAUAACAGGCUGAUACCGCCCAAGAGUUCAUAUCGACGGCGGUGUUUGGCACCUCGAUGUCGGCUCAUCACAUCCUGGGGCUGAAGUAGGUCCCAAGGGUAUGGCUGUUCGCCAUUUAAAGUGGUACGCGAGCUGGGUUUAGAACGUCGUGAGACAGUUCGGUCCCUAUCUGCCGUGGGCGCUGGAGAACUGAGGGGGGCUGCUCCUAGUACGAGAGGACCGGAGUGGACGCAUCACUGGUGUUCGGGUUGUCAUGCCAAUGGCACUGCCCGGUAGCUAAAUGCGGAAGAGAUAAGUGCUGAAAGCAUCUAAGCACGAAACUUGCCCCGAGAUGAGUUCUCCCUGAGACUUAGAGUCUCCUGAAGGAACGUUGAAGACGACGACGUUGAUAGGCCGGGUGUGUAAGCGCAGCGAUGCGUUGAGCUAACCGGUACUAAUGAACCGUGAGGCUUAACCUUACAACGCCGAAG